UGAGGGGUUUGGAUUCAUUGACUGAAUUGCAGAACUCCGUGAACCGAUGGCCUCCUGAACGCGCAUUGCGCUCUCGGGAUUUCCUGAGAGCAGGUCUGCUUCAGUGCUUAGCAUUAUCUACCUGUGCUUGCAAGCAGCAUGUCUACACUGCUGCUUUGCUUUCCAACAAGUCAUCGAUCGCGUUUGUGUUCGUAAAUGGCUUGUUUGCUGCCUGGCCCAUGCGCCAAGCUUGAGCGUACUGUUGUUCCAAGCUUAGCUUGCAUCGUACAGCUCAAGCGCGCAGCUGUUGGGAUGCUGAUGCAUGCCCUUAGCUUGAAGUCAGACAAGAGAACCCGCUGAACUUAAGCUAUGGAUCCCACCCA
This 362-nucleotide ribosomal RNA is filed under the name Symbiodinium sp. Its description in RNAcentral is "eukaryotic LSU rRNA". The stretch from base 1 to 109 matches the Rfam family "5.8S ribosomal RNA", at positions 37 to 154 of the family's 154-position model. Lineage: Eukaryota; Dinophyceae; Suessiales; Symbiodiniaceae. The record is from RNAcentral.